AGACGCGUGGCGCCAUGCCUAAUACAUGCAGUCGAGCGGACAGAAAGGGAGCUUGCUCCCGGAUGUUAGCGGCGGACGGGUGAGAAACACGUGGGUAACCUGCCUGUAAGACUGGGAUAACUCCGGGAAACCGGAGCUAAUACCGGAUAGUUCCUUGAACCGCAUGGUUCAAGGAUGAAAGACGGUUUCGGCUGUCACUUACAGAUGGACCCGCGGCGCAUUAGCUAGUUGGUGGGGUAAUGGCUCACCAAGGCGACGAUGCGUAGCCGACCUGAGAGGGUGAUCGGCCACACUGGGACUGAGACACGGCCCAGACUCCUACGGGAGGCAGCAGUAGGGAAUCUUCCGCAAUGGACGAAAGUCUGACGGAGCAACGCCGCGUGAGUGAUGAAGGUUUUCGGAUCGUAAAGCUCUGUUGUUAGGGAAGAACAAGUGCGAGAGUAACUGCUCGCACCUUGACGGUACCUAACCAGAAAGCCACGGCUAACUACGUGCCAGCAGCCGCGGUAAUACGUAGGUGGCAAGCGUUGUCCGGAAUUAUUGGGCGUAAAGGGCUCGCAGGCGGUUUCUUAAGUCUGAUGUGAAAGCCCCCGGCUCAACCGGGGAGGGUCAUUGGAAACUGGGAAACUUGAGUGCAGAAGAGGAGAGUGGAAUUCCACGUGUAGCGGUGAAAUGCGUAGAGAUGUGGAGGAACACCAGUGGCGAAGGCGACUCUCUGGUCUGUAACUGACGCUGAGGAGCGAAAGCGUGGGGAGCGAACAGGAUUAGAUACCCUGGUAGUCCACGCCGUAAACGAUGAGUGCUAAGUGUUAGGGGUUUCCGCCCCUUAGUGCUGCAGCUAACGCAUUAAGCACUCCGCCUGGGGGAGUACGGUCGCAAGACUGAAACUCAAAGGAAUUGACGGGGGCCC
RNAcentral lists this ribosomal RNA (910 nucleotides) under Bacillus pumilus. Its description in RNAcentral is "bacterial SSU rRNA". It matches the Rfam family "Bacterial small subunit ribosomal RNA", at positions 31 to 922 of the family's 1533-position model. The record is from RNAcentral. Lineage: Bacteria; Bacillati; Bacillota; Bacilli; Caryophanales; Bacillaceae.